GCGCCGGUGGCGCAGCGGUUAGCGCUGCUGUUUUGGAAAUUUUCAACGCGGGUUCGACCCCCCGCGGGGAA
Non-coding RNA from Caenorhabditis brenneri, 71 nucleotides. The record is from the annotation of a GenBank genome assembly. NCBI's taxonomy places the organism in Eukaryota, Metazoa, Nematoda, Chromadorea, Rhabditida, Rhabditidae.